AUGUUUGAGAUCCUGAAAUCCUGUUACCAGAUCACCAGCAUCCCUCAGAUCCCCAGGGUGGAGUGGCUGCUGGUACUCUGCUGUCGGGUGGAGAACUUCUACCCCCGGGACAUCAACCUGGAGUGGACCAGAAGCGACGGGGAGCAGGUCCGCACCGUCACUCACUUCGGACCUUUCUCCAACCACAGCCGUCUCUACAGCGUGUGGAGUGAGAUUCAUCUACGCAUGGCCAGAGAGGACGAGAGGGCCGUCUACACCUGCCGGGUUUACCACUCCAGCUUCCCUGCUCCGGGAUACAAAGAUGUCCUGUACCACAUCAACACUCAAGGAACUCCUCCUGAUGUGAUGUUCAUUGACUGCGAGCCGCUGUGUCCUCUGUUGGAUGAAGAGUGUACUCUGCACCUGUGCAUCAGAGACUUCUGUCCCGAGGACGUGUCAGUGACUUGGACUAAAGAUGGAGAGAUGGUUCCCUCCGGCGUCUUCAACACUCCCCCGAGCCUGAACAUCAACGGCCUCUACUCCAUGUUCACUUUUCUCAAACACACCCCCAAGGAGGACGACUGGGGCUCUGAGUUCAGGUGCCGGGUGGUCCACAGCGCCCAGAUGGCGCCUGAGGAGAGGCUCUUCACACUGCCUGCAGCCCACAGCUGGCGUCUGAGGGACGGCUGCUGAUGUCCUCACUGUGGAAACGCUUGUAUUUCCAUCUACGGUGGUUCAAUUUGUAGAUCAGAAGAGAUAAGCCAGAGUUUUGGACAUUAAAAAAGAUAUCUGGCCUAGUCAUUACUGUCCAUGAUGCAGUGGCUCUUUGUCAGUAGGGAACCUACAUUUAAAUGACCUCUUUCCAGAGCACCAAGUAUCAGAAACUGUAGUACCUUUAUGUUAUUUAAACACAGUCCAGGUAGAACAUCAUAGAAAUACAACAUAAACGGGGUUUCACAUUUUCAUGAUAAAAAUAGGGGUAGUUAUUUUUCUUUUUGUGUACAUUAUAAAUUAGACCAAACCUCAUAAAACUUCUCUUGAUAAUUAUGGGUCCUUGUGAUUUACAGAUUCCAAAUCCCUGUGUGACUCUUUCAGUAACGGAGAACGAUCCUUGAAGCGCCGGUAAAGCCUGCCGAGGCCAAGGUCCAGUUCAUUCCCACAUUAAAUGAAGAAAAAAUCCUUAUAGUAUUUUAUAUUGUAUUUUAUUUAGGGAAACAUUUUUGGGUAAUAAUUUGAAGUCCCCUCUAAAUAACAAUUUAUUUAUAAUGGGGAUUUCCUUGUAAUAUCAAAAUCCUAGAAAUAAUAAGGAAAUUCAAAUUACAAAAUUUACAGACACACAAAAUAACGUGUUACCACUGCUUGUGCAGUUUUGAGGUGUUUGUGUCAAAUUUUCUUAAAUACAAUUGUUGUAGGAAAAUGUCAAAUACUAUAAUAUCUCUGCUCUAUGUAUAUACGUUCUCAUGCCCACAUUUUAUUCAACAUGUUGUGACUUUUUCAAGCACACAAUGUGAGAAUGGACAAAUGAAUGUCCUCAAGGUUACUCCACACAAAUGGGAAGCUCCCAGAUUCAGUGAGAACAUUUUCUAUUUGAAAAGAAACGGUAGAAAAUGCUUUUCUGCUAACUCAUUUAUAUACUGUAUGCACUGUUGUUUCCCUCUGACCAAACACAGCAUUUUAUUGUACACAAUGAACCUGCAGAUAAACCUGCCCGAUAGUUCAUCAGUGGUGGAAUGUAACUACAUUUACUCAAGAAGCUUCAGUAAAUACAAAUACAGAUACUUGCACAUGUUUCUGUUUCAUACUACUGUAUACUUCUACUCUACUCUACAUGUAUUGGAUAGCUUUAGACCCUAUAGCAUGGACUGUAUUAAAUCGGGAUGUAGUAAAACCAAAUAUCAUUAAUUCAUUUUCAGAACACAGACUCAGAUGCUGCAAGAAUGAGCCCUAAACGUGAAAAUGAGUCUCGAAGAAAAUGGAUUUCUGAACGUGUUUCUGGUUCGAUGCCUGAAAUAAUGAGGUCUGUGGUCGACAAGCUGUAGAGAUGUUAACAUUAAACGUCUUAAAAAGGCGGUUCCUAUUCACGUGACCGUUUGUUUAGCCUAACGUAAACUUUAUACUUCUGCCUAUUGCAUUCAAGCUUCAAAAAUCAUAAAGUUAUGUUCAUUUGUGAAAAUGAUCUUGCUG
Molecule: non-coding RNA, 2163 nt
Organism: Anarrhichthys ocellatus (wolf-eel)
Lineage: Eukaryota; Metazoa; Chordata; Actinopteri; Perciformes; Anarhichadidae
Source: the annotation of a RefSeq genome assembly